CGUAGGGUGCGAGCGUUGUCCGGAAUUAUUGGGCGUAAAGAGCUCGUAGGCGGUUUGUCGCGUCGGCUGUGAAAUCCCGAGGCUCAACCUCGGGUCUGCAGUCGAUACGGGCGGACUGGAGUUCGGCAGGGGAGACUGGAAUUCCUGGUGUAGCGGUGAAAUGCGCAGAUAUCAGGAGGAACACCGGUGGCGAAGGCGGGUCUCUGGGCCGAUACUGACGCUGAGGAGCGAAAGCGUGGGGAGCGAACAGG
This 251-nucleotide ribosomal RNA is filed under the name uncultured bacterium. RNAcentral's name for it is "partial 16S ribosomal RNA". It matches the Rfam family "Bacterial small subunit ribosomal RNA", at positions 526 to 776 of the family's 1533-position model. The record is from RNAcentral.